Non-coding RNA from Lolium perenne, 2164 nucleotides. Lineage: Eukaryota; Viridiplantae; Streptophyta; Magnoliopsida; Poales; Poaceae. The record is from RefSeq and is a predicted model, not a curated record.
CUCGGGAUACGAUCUGGAUACGAAAAUAUCCCAUCCCUCACCGAACGCUUCCCAUUCCCUCGACGUAUAUAAGGCGACCAGCCCUUUCUCUCAUCUUUUCACCUCCUGAUCUCCGAUCUGGGCGCAGUGCGCCGCCACGAGAUCGCCGGCGAACGGCCACCUAUACUACUGCGCCACCGCACCGGAGAGAGAUCAGCCCCCUCCGUCGUCGAACUGCAGGUAGCGGGCACGAUGAGGGAGGGCCGUCCGUCCAGCGAGAGGAGUUACUCGCCCCGACCGUCAAACGGUGUCGGGGGGAGCCGGCGAGGGCGGAGAGGCUUGGUUCCCCACGAGCUGUUCGGCCAGUUCGCAAGUCUGGACGCCUUCGCCGCUGCGAAGCUCUCACGCCAACAAACAGCGUUUCCCGAGGAGACAAUCGUCACGCUUGCAGUUGGGAUGGCAGCGUCUCAUCGACGCGAGCAGGUGGCGAGCGCCGGUGGGAGCGAGUCCUCUCUCUCUCUCUCUCUCUCUCUCUCUCUCUCUCUCUCUCUCUCUCUCUCUCUCUCUCCGUGAGUCUCACGGUGGCGAUGCUGCCGCAUCAGAAGACCGCGGCGGUGGGGACGGUGCCUCACAGAAGAUCGCGGCGGUGGACCACAAGACCUUCCCCAUCGAGCAGCUUCGAUCCGGCCAUGAUGAGCGGUGGCGCGUGACCAUUUUUAGGCAGCACACUUAGCGGUGGCCACGGGGCAAUUUUUGCGUACAGCAAGGUCUCCACUCAUGAGAAUUGAGGUCGUCAAGCCAUGGAAUGAUGGUGUCUCCAAGGCCACAUGCUCAGGUUCAACACAGUGCUGUCUGCCAUCUUCAUGGCUCGGUCACGGAGGCUCUGUCAGCAAGCAUGUUCUGUGAGGAAUAUUCACAUCGCCGAUGUGGUAGUAUCGUAGAAAAGUUCAGUUUUUUCUUGCUUCCUUUGCAACCAACUGUUUCUGCUACACAUUUUAUGUUUACAGUGGCUUAUUGGCAAGAAAAGAUACACAUUUUGCUCCCGGACAUAGGUUAAUUGAUAUCAACGUGAAGGAUAGGUAGGUCAUGUCUAGACUAUCUAUUUACAUCAGCAACACUUGAGUGUCAUAUUCACAAAUAUGGCUUGCCUUUUUCAUUCUCCAUUACUCAAGGCUUCAAAUUGCUUUGUAAUUGUCGUAGAUCAUUUUCCCUUGCAAAAAUAAUCUUGGCAGAUUGUUCCAUUUGUUUUCCCAACAUAUAUCAUUUGCUGCAGUAAUUGCUCAUAGACAUUUUGUCAUGCUCUUGACAUGUUCAAACGCUAACCAAAUUUAUGGACUUUAUUCUAUGCACUUUUGACCAAAACUGGAGGAUGGAUAGUGUAGCUGGAGGAUGAAAGCAUGUACAUGGAGUGAAAACUCAAGCAGGUAUUUUGCUUCAAUAUCGCCAUGUCGAGUUCGUCAUCAGCCGAGCUUUCUUGGAUGCCACUAGGUUCAAACAAACCACUGUUUUCGUUAUUGUUUGAGUUUAAAAGGUGCUGGUCAUUAUCUCCAAGAUAGUUUGUCUGUAAAUAAAUCAUUGACAAACAAUCUCAUGUACUGAUGCUCUUACUAUUUACACUGGACAUGGACAGACAAUCUCCUGGUCAGAUUGCCUCUUCUAUUUCUUUGUCCUGACAAGUUUAAGUUGGAAAUUUGGGUGUUAUUAUAAGAAACGGAAUCUAGCAGGAUCACUGAGGUGUGGCUUGGUGAAGUGAAAGAAAAUCCCUAUCCUUGGUUGUUUCCGGUGUUCCAAAAGAUUCUCUUACAUUCUUGAUGUUUAAAGCCUUUUCUAUAUCAGACAGGAUUUAUUUCUCACUGGACCUAACUAGAAGAUGCAGUCCUCAAUGAAAACCGUGGUCCAGCUCGCCUUGGGGAUUAUCCAUUGGAGCCAGCUGUGCAGAAUCCUCGAUAUUUUGAUGGAAAUGCCAUUCUUUGUGAUGCAGCCUGGGAGAACCAAUAGAUCCAUCGACGCAACAAGCUGGAAUUGUGUCAGCAUUCAGGGCGAUAACAAUCAUCACUUCCGGCAGCUUUCAUGUAUCGCCGAUAUCUCCACUGGCAUCUUCACCGUCCUAGGAUGAGGCUUUUCUGCUUAUUCAUGCAACCAUCUUGGAAUACUCUUUUUUAUAUACAGGAACUUCAUUUCCACA